UACGGAGGGUGCGAGCGUUGUCCGGAAUCAUUGGGCGUAAAGGGCGCGUAGGUGGCCUGCUAAGCGUGCGGUGAAAGCUCGGGGCUCAACCCCGAGUCGGCCGUGCGAACUGGUGGGCUUGAGCACUGUAGAGGCAGGCGGAAUUCCGGGUGUAGCGGUGGAAUGCGUAGAGAUCCGGAAGAACACCGGUGGCGAAGGCGGCCUGCUGGGCUAUGGCUGACACUGAGGCGCGACAGCGUGGGGAGCAAACAGG
Molecule: ribosomal RNA, 253 nt
Filed under: uncultured bacterium
Lineage: Bacteria
Description: partial 16S ribosomal RNA
Rfam family: Bacterial small subunit ribosomal RNA
Source: RNAcentral